Molecule: unclassified non-coding RNA, 309 nt
Filed under: Hevea brasiliensis (rubber tree)
Lineage: Eukaryota; Viridiplantae; Streptophyta; Magnoliopsida; Malpighiales; Euphorbiaceae
Source: RNAcentral
GAAAUGGGUAGCAUUUUGUGGUGGAGUUAGAGGGCAGGUCUAACAGAUGCAAGCAUUGUGGUACCCACUCGGCCUUUCCUGUUGAUCUGGUCUCAAGGGCAAACCCCCUUAACUCUUCUCAAUUGCUUUUUCCUUUACAUUAUUGUGAUUUUUAAUCCUUUAGCAGUUGGGAUAAGGAAGACAUGCUAUAUUUGUUACAAAUUCUGCAUCUUUGCAAGCAUCGGAGAAGCUUAAUAGAGCUGUAUAUAUUUUUGUGUGUUCAGAUAAAGAUUAUACGAUAGUUUGCAUUGGUUUCAGCUGGUAUUUCAA